Saimiri boliviensis boliviensis (Bolivian squirrel monkey) is the source of this 421-nucleotide non-coding RNA. NCBI's taxonomy places the organism in Eukaryota, Metazoa, Chordata, Mammalia, Primates, Cebidae. The record is from RefSeq and is a predicted model, not a curated record.
UUCGUACCUAGGCAAACUCUUUGUAGCUAGGCUGUAUAUCAAGAUAUGACAAAUACUGAGCUUAACUUCACCUGUCUGAGGGACGGUACUCACUGAUGACUUCCGUGAAUGCUGUGUUGAUGGGGUAAUGGGCCUGCAAAUAACAUUGAAGUGGGUACAGGAUUGAGGCGGAGAUGAAGAAUUGGCAUCCUCAAGCAGACAUUUCUUUUUCCAUGUUUAGCUGUGGAUGAUAGAGACAUCAGAUGUGGUCAUAAUUAGAAGCACUAUGAAGCACUAUGGCUAAUUUUGUAAGUGGAAGUAGACUGACAUGAUGCCAUGUCUGGCAAGAUUUUGAGCAGAUUUGGAGAAAUGUUGCUCUUUGCUCUUUUGAUCUUACACUUUCUAAAGGAAUAAAAUAAUUCUCCUUCCCCUUUUUAAUGCA